AACCUGCUACCAAGCGAUGCGUAAAAUACCACAGGGAUCGAGGUGACAGGAAGGAACGUCAAGGUAGUAGAGUAAAUAAAUAUCGAAGUUGUCAUAGAGAGAUAACAGGAAGGAGAAGAAAAAAGUAAAGGUUAAAGCGAAAGAUUGUUUAAUAAAGUUAAGAUAAAUUCAGUUGAAAAGCGAAGUGUUUGUUGGAAAAAUUCUAAUAAAGUAAGGAAGCGGAGUCAGUGCAGGUUGUUUCUGACAGGCACCUAUCGAUUGAUAGUUAAAAAUCAACAAACAACUCUAGUGGACGGAAGGACUGUCUGAGACGAUUCGAGAAUUAAAGUCGAGAGACAUUAAGUCUGUGGAAUAUUCGGACAGAGCACAAUUAAAAUCCGUACGAACUACAACUACAUCGAAAGUUAGGUUAGCACGAGUACAGUCAGUAGGACGAAAACGUGUAACGCUAAUCGUGAGUAAACGCAAAUGAAAUUACUAGAUACAACAUAUUAAAAUAACAUAAAAUAUUGGCUAGGGUGGUUAAUUUAACAUCAAAUUAAACAAUCAUAAAUCAGGAGUAUUUGGAAGAGUUAAAAAUACACGAAACACUAAUUGUAAGUAGUAAAACCAUUUAACUAUAAUGUCUCGAUAAAUUGUAACCAAAAUUUUAAAUACAAUUUAGCUUUGAUCGGCUAGUUAAACGUCGAUUGUC
This is a long non-coding RNA of Wyeomyia smithii (pitcher-plant mosquito), 694 nucleotides long. RefSeq lists it as uncharacterized. NCBI's taxonomy places the organism in Eukaryota, Metazoa, Arthropoda, Insecta, Diptera, Culicidae. The record is from RefSeq and is a predicted model, not a curated record. The transcript has 3 exons.